RNAcentral lists this ribosomal RNA (492 nucleotides) under uncultured bacterium. RNAcentral describes it as "partial 16S ribosomal RNA". It matches the Rfam family "Bacterial small subunit ribosomal RNA", at positions 29 to 507 of the family's 1533-position model. The record is from RNAcentral.
AGUGAACGCUGGCGGUAGGCCUAACACAUGCAAGUCGAACGGCAGCACAGUAAGAGCUUGCUCUUACGGGUGGCGAGUGGCGGACGGGUGAGGAAUACAUCGGAAUCUACUUUUUCGUGGGGGAUAACGUAGGGAAACUUACGCUAAUACCGCAUACGACCUACGGGUGAAAGCAGGGGAUCUUCGGACCUUGCGCGAUUGAAUGAGCCGAUGUCGGAUUAGCUAGUUGGCGGGGUAAAGGCCCACCAAGGCGACGAUCCGUAGCUGGUCUGAGAGGAUGAUCACCCACACUGGAACUGAGACACGGUCCAGGCUCCUACGGGAGGCAGCAGUGGGGAAUAUUGGACAAUGGGCGCAAGCCUGAUCCAGCCAUACCGCGUGGGUGAAGAAGGCCUUCGGGUUGUAAAGCCCUUUUGUUGGGAAAGAAAAGCAGCAGGUUAAUACCCCGCUGUUCUGACGGUACCCAAAGAAUAAGCACCGGCUAACUUCGUG